Hyaena hyaena (striped hyena) is the source of this 107-nucleotide small nuclear RNA. The record is from RefSeq and is a predicted model, not a curated record. Lineage: Eukaryota; Metazoa; Chordata; Mammalia; Carnivora; Hyaenidae.
AUGCUCACUUUAGCAGCACAUACUCUAAAACUGGAAUGAUACAGAGAAGAUUACCAUGUUCCCUGAGCAGGGAAGACAGGCAAAUUUGUGAAGUGUUCCUUAUUUUC